Molecule: long non-coding RNA, 600 nt
Organism: Sapajus apella (tufted capuchin)
Lineage: Eukaryota; Metazoa; Chordata; Mammalia; Primates; Cebidae
Exons: 2
Source: RefSeq, a predicted model, not a curated record
CCUGACCCCAACUGCAGCCUCCAGAACCAGGAGACAGUGAAUGCCUGCCGCUGAAGCUACCCGGUCUUCAGCACUUUGUCACCACAGCCCCAGGAAUCUCACACAGAGGACCCUAUCCAGCUGCUGCCCCACCUCCGAGAGCCUCGCCCUGCUGGAAGAGCACUGCUUGUUUGGUCCAUCAGCCACUCUGCGAAGGACCCCUGAGCGUAACCCAGGGUCUGCACUGUAGGCCACCCUCGCUGGACAGGCCCAGGGCCCCGGGCCCCCACCUGCCCGUAGAAGGUGAGUCCUGGGUUGGCCUUCCAGGGGUCUAGGGAGGGAGUAGAAAUGGCCUGAAAGUCUCCGAGGGGCUGGAAGGCCCUGCACGUGGGGCCCAAAUUGGCAGAGGCUUAUGUGUCACGUGCAGGCUACGUGCAUAUGGCUCCCCUGGCACCACUUCCUGCCACGAGACGAAUCUGCCAAGGGCCCAGCCCUCUGUCACUCCACUACCUUCUCACUGACGUUGUCCACUGCAGGUCCUCAGACUUGACCAGAGAAUAUAGCCCAUCCAGGCCCUGAGGAUAUAUCCUCUCCCGCUCCCGGUCUGGUUUGAGACAUAGA